Molecule: ribosomal RNA, 342 nt
Filed under: Triticum aestivum (bread wheat)
Lineage: Eukaryota; Viridiplantae; Streptophyta; Magnoliopsida; Poales; Poaceae
Description: partial small subunit ribosomal RNA
Source: RNAcentral
AUGAUGGAGAGGUUUGAGGACAUCUUGAUGAAGAAGGAGGAGGCAUGUGUCAAGCACUAUGACGUCAAGAAGGAAAAAAAGGCCGAGAGGUUUAACAUGUUCAUGACGGCGACCAAGAAGAAUCUCAAACUCGAAGAGAAGACCAUACUCGAAGAGAAGAAGGUUGAGAUCGCGACUGCUUUGGAGGAUUCGAAGAGGUUGACCUUGAAGAUGGACGACUUGAAUGAAGAUGCAAGGAUGAUCAUGCAAGCCGUACAUGUUAGGAUGUUGAAGUGCUUCGCAACCGAGCUUGAGACGUCAGAGAAGGAGGCGACUAGUGAGGAGGAGCCGACGACAGAGUGA